This 539-nucleotide ribosomal RNA is filed under the name uncultured bacterium. Its description in RNAcentral is "bacterial SSU rRNA". It matches the Rfam family "Bacterial small subunit ribosomal RNA", at positions 353 to 907 of the family's 1533-position model. The record is from RNAcentral.
AGUGAGGAAUAUUGCACAAUGGGCGAAAGCCUGAUGCAGCGACGCCGCGUGGAGGAUGAAGGAUUUCGGUCUGUAAACUCCUGUCAGUAGGGAAGAGAAUGGACGGUACCUACUGAGGAAGCUUCGGCUAACUACGUGCCAGCAGCCGCGGUAAGACGUAGGAAGCAAGCGUUGUCCGGAAUUACUGGGCGUAAAGAGCUCGUAGGCGGGAUCGUAAGUCUUAGAGUAAAUCUCACGGCUCAACCGUGGGGCCUUCUGAGAUACUGCGAUUCUUGAGGAUGUCAGAGGAAAGUAGAAUUCCCGGUGUAGCGGUGAAAUGCGUAGAUAUCGGGAGGAAUACCAGUGGCGAAGGCGACUUUCUGGGACAUUCCUGACGCUGAGGAGCGAAAGCGUGGGGAGCAAACGGGAUUAGAUACCCCGGUAGUCCACGCGGUAAACGAUGGAUAUUAGGUGUGGGAGGUAUCGACUCCUUCCGUGCCGUCGCUAACGCAUUAAAUAUCCCGCCUGGGGAGUACGGUCGCAAGGCUGAAACUCAAAGG